This 623-nucleotide ribosomal RNA is filed under the name Amanita muscaria (fly agaric). RNAcentral's name for it is "LSU rRNA". It matches the Rfam family "Eukaryotic large subunit ribosomal RNA", at positions 58 to 657 of the family's 3401-position model. The record is from RNAcentral. Lineage: Eukaryota; Fungi; Basidiomycota; Agaricomycetes; Agaricales; Amanitaceae.
AAAGAAACUAACAAGGAUUCCCUUAGUAACUGCGAGUGAAGAGGGAAGAGCUCAAAUUUAAAAUCUGGCAGUGUUUUGCUGUCCGAGUUGUAAUCUAGAGAAGUGCUGCCCGUGCUGGACCAUGUACAAGUCUCCUGGAAUGGAGCGUCACAGAGGGUGAGAAUCCCGUCUUUGACAUGGACUACCAGUGCAUUUGUGGUGUGCUCUCAAAGAGUCGAGUUGUUUGGGAAUGCAGCUCUAAAUGGGUGGUAAACUCCAUCUAAAGCUAAAUAUUGGCGAGAGACCGAUAGCGAACAAGUACCGUGAGGGAAAGAUGAAAAGAACUUUGGAAAGAGAGUUAAACAGUAUGUGAAAUUGUUGAAAGGGAAACGCUUAAAGUCAGUCGUGUCGGCCAGGGAUCAACUCAGCUUUCUCUGCUGGGUGUACUUCCUGAUCUGAUGGGCCAACAUCAGUUUUGACUGCUGGAGAAGGGCAGAGGGAAUGUGGCACCUUCGGGUGUGUUAUAGCUCUCUGUCAGAUGCAGUGGUUGGGACUGAGGAAAGCAGCAUGCCGCAAGGCCGGGUCGUUCGACCACGUUCAUUGCUGAGGAUGUUGGCAUAAUGGCUUUAAUCGACCCGUCUUGA